This 483-nucleotide ribosomal RNA is filed under the name uncultured bacterium. RNAcentral's name for it is "partial 16S ribosomal RNA". It matches the Rfam family "Bacterial small subunit ribosomal RNA", at positions 30 to 506 of the family's 1533-position model. The record is from RNAcentral.
AUUGAACGCUGGCGGAAUGCUUUACACAUGCAAGUCGAGCGGCAGCACGGGGGCAACCCUGGUGGCGAGCGGCGAACGGGUGAGUAAUACAUCGGAACAUGCCCAGUCGUGGGGGAUAACACUUCGAAAGAAGUGCUAAUACCGCAUACGUCCUGAGGGAGAAAGCGGGGGAUCGCAAGACCUCGCGCGAUUGGAGUGGCCGAUGUCAGAUUAGCUAGUUGGUGGGGUAAAGGCCUACCAAGGCAACGAUCUGUAGCUGGUCUGAGAGGAUGAUCAGCCACACUGGGACUGAGACACGGCCCAGACUCCUACGGGAGGCAGCAGUGGGGAAUUUUGGACAAUGGGGGCAACCCUGAUCCAGCCAUUCCGCGUGAGUGAAGAAGGCCUUCGGGUUGUAAAGCUCUUUCGGCAGGAACGAAACGGCGAGCUCUAACAUAGCUUGCUAAUGACGGUACCUGAAGAAGAAACACCGGCUAACUACGU